GAUGAACGCUGACAGAAUGCUUAACACAUGCAAGUCAACUUGAACUUCGGUUUGGGUGGCGGACGGGUGAGUAACGCGUAAAGAACUUGCCUCACAGAUAGGGACAACAUUUGGAAACGAAUGCUAAUACCUGAUAUUAUGAUUAUAUGGCAUCGUAUAAUUAUGAAAGCUAUAUGCGCUGGGAGAGAGCUUUGCGUCCCAUUAGCUAGUUGGAGAGGUAACGGCUCACCAAGGCGAUGAGGGGUAGCCGGCCUGAGAGGGUGAUCGGCCACAAGGGGACUGAGACACGGCCCUUACUCCUACGGGAGGCAGCAGUGGGGAAUAUUGGACAAUGGACCAAGAGUCUGAUCCAGCAAUUCUGUGUGCACGAUGAAGUUUUUCGGGAUGUAAAGUGCUUUCAGUUGGGAAGAAAAAAAUGACGGUACCAACAGAAGAAGUGACGGCUAAAUACGUG
RNAcentral lists this ribosomal RNA (454 nucleotides) under uncultured bacterium. RNAcentral's name for it is "partial 16S ribosomal RNA". It matches the Rfam family "Bacterial small subunit ribosomal RNA", at positions 28 to 507 of the family's 1533-position model. The record is from RNAcentral.